RNAcentral lists this small nuclear RNA (107 nucleotides) under Castor canadensis (American beaver). The record is from RNAcentral. Lineage: Eukaryota; Metazoa; Chordata; Mammalia; Rodentia; Castoridae.
GUGCUCACUUUGGCAGAACAUAUACUAAAAUUGGAACGAUACAGAGAAGAUUAGCAUGGCCCCUGUGCAAGGAUGACACGCAAAUUCGUGAAGUGUUCCAUUAAAAA